GCGGGCGUAGUUUAACGGCAAAAUAUGUCCUUGCCAAGGAUAGGUUGGGGGUUCGAUUCCCCUCGCUCGCUCCA
RNAcentral lists this transfer RNA (74 nucleotides) under Bacillota bacterium. RNAcentral describes it as "tRNA-Gly". It matches the Rfam family "tRNA". From Rfam's summary of the family: Transfer RNA (tRNA) molecules are approximately 80 nucleotides in length. Their secondary structure includes four short double-helical elements and three loops (D, anti-codon, and T loops). The record is from RNAcentral. Lineage: Bacteria; Bacillati; Bacillota.